Molecule: ribosomal RNA, 253 nt
Filed under: uncultured bacterium
Lineage: Bacteria
Description: partial 16S ribosomal RNA
Rfam family: Bacterial small subunit ribosomal RNA
Source: RNAcentral
UACGAAGGGGGCUAGCGUUGUUCGGAAUUACUGGGCGUAAAGCGCGUGUAGGCGGGUUUUUAAGUCGGGGGUGAAAUGCCAAGGCUCAACCUUGGAACUGCCUUUGAUACUGGAGAUCUUGAGUCCGGGAGAGGUGAGUGGAAUUGCGAGUGUAGAGGUGAAAUUCGUAGAUAUUCGCAAGAACACCAGUGGCGAAGGCGGCUCACUGGCCCGGAACUGACGCUGAGACGCGAAAGCGUGGGGAGCAAACAGG